GGGGACGUACUGGCUUUUGACAGGACGUUUGAUGGAAACAGGUUGCGAACUCGAGCGCUGUUCUCGGUUAUCAACGAGCAAAUUAAAAUGAAUGCUACAGAUAAUGUUGUAGUAGCUGAUUUCUCAAGAGCAAGAGCUCUUGCUGCUUAAUAGAGCAGUUCAGCCUCUCAUAGUUGUCCAGCUUGCCGAUGCUAUGGGACCACCAUGCAAGACGCAGUACAUUCAUGAUAGUAGAUGUAUCAAGAUUAACUAUCAAAGUGCGUAACACUUAAAACUGCUUUGUUAUGAUUGUAGAGGUUUGUUUUUUCCUUGAUUGUAACGAGAGAAAUAAAAACUACGUUCGUAGAGAUUUGUUUUGAUCCGUUUUGGACAGGGGUUCGACUCCCCUCGUCUCCACCA
Molecule: transfer-messenger RNA, 399 nt
Filed under: Candidatus Gastranaerophilaceae
Lineage: Bacteria; Bacillati; Candidatus Melainabacteria; Candidatus Gastranaerophilales
Also listed under: 1 other name
Description: UBA791 sp902803265 Standard tmRNA
Rfam family: transfer-messenger RNA
About the family: Bacterial tmRNA, also known as 10Sa RNA or SsrA, is named for its dual tRNA and mRNA-like properties.
Source: RNAcentral